AUUGCAGGCUGNAACCCGCCUGCAUGAAGUCGGAAUUGCUAGUAAUCGCGGAUCAGCAUGCCGCGGUGAAUACGUUCCCGGGCCUUGUACACACCGCCCGUCACACCAUGGGAGCCGGUAAUACCCGAAGUCAGUAGUCCAACCACGUGAGGACGCUGCCGAAGGUAGGAUUGGCGACUGGGGUGAAGUCGUAACAAGGUAUC
Molecule: ribosomal RNA, 203 nt
Filed under: uncultured bacterium
Lineage: Bacteria
Description: partial 16S ribosomal RNA
Rfam family: Bacterial small subunit ribosomal RNA
Source: RNAcentral